Molecule: transfer RNA, 74 nt
Filed under: Treponema sp.
Lineage: Bacteria; Pseudomonadati; Spirochaetota; Spirochaetia; Treponematales; Treponemataceae
Description: tRNA-Ala
Rfam family: tRNA
About the family: Transfer RNA (tRNA) molecules are approximately 80 nucleotides in length. Their secondary structure includes four short double-helical elements and three loops (D, anti-codon, and T loops).
Source: RNAcentral
GGGGGUGUAGCUCAGUUGGCUAGAGCGUUUGAAUGGCAUUCAAAAGGCCAGGAGUUCAAUUCUCCUCACCUCCA